This 254-nucleotide ribosomal RNA is filed under the name uncultured bacterium. RNAcentral describes it as "partial 16S ribosomal RNA". It matches the Rfam family "Bacterial small subunit ribosomal RNA", at positions 524 to 776 of the family's 1533-position model. The record is from RNAcentral.
UACAGGGGGAGCAAGCGUUAUCCGGAAUGAUUGGGCGUAAAGCAUUUGUAGGUGGCUCUUAAAGUCUACUGUCAAAUAUCAAGGCUUAACCUUGAGCAGGCAGUGGAGCACUCAAGAGCUAGAGUGUGGUAGAGGUAGAGGGAAUUCCAUGUGGAGCGGUGAAAUGCGUAGAGAUAUGGAGGAACACCAGCGGCGAAGGCGCUCUACUGGGCCAAGACUGACACUGAGAAAUGAAAGCUGGAGGAGCAAAUAGG